GACGAACGCUGGCGGCGUGCUUAACACAUGCAAGUCGAACGGAAAGGCCUCUUUCGGGGGGUACUCGAGUGGCGAACGGGUGAGUAACACGUGAGUAACCUGCCCUUGACUUUGUGAUAACUUCAGGAAACUGUGGCUAAUACCGGAUAUGAGCUCCUGCUGCAUGGUGGGGGUUGGAAAGUUUCGGCGGUUGGGGGUGGACUCGCGGCUUAUCAGCUUGUUGGUGGGGUAGUGGCUUACCAAGGCUUUGACGGGUAGCCGGCCUGAGAGGGUGACCGGCCACAUUGGGAAUGGGAUACGGCCCAGACUCCUACGGGAGGCAGCAGUGGGGAAUAUUGCAAAAUGGGUGGAAGCCCGAUGCAGCAACGCCGUGUGCGGGAUGACGGCCUUCGGGUUGGAAACCGCUUUCGCUCAUGAAGAAGCUUUGUGUGACGGUAGUGGGUAAAGAAGCACCGGCUAACUACGUG
This 467-nucleotide ribosomal RNA is filed under the name uncultured bacterium. RNAcentral's name for it is "partial 16S ribosomal RNA". It matches the Rfam family "Bacterial small subunit ribosomal RNA", at positions 28 to 507 of the family's 1533-position model. The record is from RNAcentral.